GGGUAUAGCUCAGUGGUAGAGUGCAUGCAUAGCAUGCACGGGGUCCUGGGUUCAAUCCUCAGUACCUCCA
Molecule: transfer RNA, 70 nt
Filed under: Camelus bactrianus (Bactrian camel)
Lineage: Eukaryota; Metazoa; Chordata; Mammalia; Artiodactyla; Camelidae
Also listed under: 3 other names
Rfam family: tRNA
About the family: Transfer RNA (tRNA) molecules are approximately 80 nucleotides in length. Their secondary structure includes four short double-helical elements and three loops (D, anti-codon, and T loops).
Source: Rfam by way of RNAcentral